RNAcentral lists this ribosomal RNA (301 nucleotides) under uncultured bacterium. RNAcentral describes it as "partial 16S ribosomal RNA". It matches the Rfam family "Bacterial small subunit ribosomal RNA", at positions 509 to 807 of the family's 1533-position model. The record is from RNAcentral.
CAGUCGCCACGGUAAUACGAAGGGGGCUAGCGUUAAUCGGAAUUACUGGGCGUAAAGCGCACGCAGGCGGUUUGUUAAGUCAGAUGUGAAAUCCCCGAGCUUAACUUGGGAACUGCAUUUGAAACUGGCAAGCUAGAGUCUUGUAGAGGGGGGUAGAAUUCCAGGUGUAGCGGCGAAAUGCGUAGAGAUCUGGAGGAAUACCGGUGGCGAAGGCGGCCCCCUGGACAAAGACUGACGCUCAGGUGCGAAAGCGUGGGGAGCAUACAGGAUUAGAUACCCCUGUAGUCCCUGUCUCUUAUAC